RNAcentral lists this transfer RNA (67 nucleotides) under unidentified. Its description in RNAcentral is "Leptomias sp. DX-2020 tRNA-Ser". The record is from RNAcentral.
GAAAUACGAUAAUCAAGAAAAAGCUUCUAACUUUAAUCUUAAGCGGCGUACUACCGUUUGUAUUUCU